GGGUUGUGAGGUUAAGCGACUAAGCGUACACGGUGGAUGCCCUGGCAGUCAGAGGCGAUGAAGGACGUGCUAAUCUGCGAAAAGCGUCGGUAAGGUGAUAUGAACCGUUAUAACCGGCGAUGUCCGAAUGGGGAAACCCAGUGUGAUUCGUCACACUAUCGUUAACUGAAUACAUAGGUUAACGAGGCGAACCGGGGGAACUGAAACAUCUAAGUACCCCGAGGAAAAGAAAUCAACCGAGAUUCCCCCAGUAGCGGCGAGCGAACGGGGAGCAGCCCAGAGUCUGAAUCAGCUUGUGUGUUAGUGGAACGGUCUGGAAAGUCCGACGGUACAGGGUGAUAGUCCCGUACACCAAAAUGCACAGGCUGUGAACUCGAAGAGUAGGGCGGGACACGUGGUAUCCUGUCUGAAUAUGGGGGGACCAUCCUCCAAGGCUAAAUACUCCUGACUGACCGAUAGUGAACCAGUACCGUGAGGGAAAGGCGAAAAGAACCCCGGCGAGGGGAGUGAAAAAGAACCUGAAACCGUGUACGUACAAGCAGUGGGAGCACCUUCGGGUGUGACUGCGUACCUUUUGUAUAAUGGGUCAGCGACUUAUAUUCUGUAGCAAGGUUAACCGUAUAGGGGAGCCGCAGGGAAACCGAGUCUUAACUGGGCGUUAAGUUGCAGGGUAUAGACCCGAAACCCGGUGAUCUAGCCAUGGGCAGGUUGAAGGUUGGGUAACACUAACUGGAGGACCGAACCGACUAAUGUUGAAAAAUUAGCGGAUGACUUGUGGCUGGGGGUGAAAGGCCAAUCAAACCGGGAGAUAGCUGGUUCUCCCCGAAAGCUAUUUAGGUAGCGCCUCGUGAAUUCAUCUUCGGGGGUAGAGCACUGUUUCGGCUAGGGGGUCAUCCCGACUUACCAACCCGAUGCAAACUACGAAUACCGAAGAAUGUUAUCACGGGAGACACACGGCGGGUGCUAACGUCCGUCGUGAAGAGGGAAACAACCCAGACCGCCAGCUAAGGUCCCAAAGUCAUGGUUAAGUGGGAAACGAUGUGGGAAGGCACAGACAGCCAGGAUGUUGGCUUAGAAGCAGCCAUCAUUUAAAGAAAGCGUAAUAGCUCACUGGUCGAGUCGGCCUGCGCGGAAGAUGUAACGGGGCUAAACCAUGCACCGAAGCUGCGGCAGCGACACUAUGUGUUGUUGGGUAGGGGAGCGUUCUGUAAGCCUGCGAAGGUGUGCUGUGAGGCAUGCUGGAGGUAUCAGAAGUGCGAAUGCUGACAUAAGUAACGAUAAAGCGGGUGAAAAGCCCGCUCGCCGGAAGACCAAGGGUUCCUGUCCAACGUUAAUCGGGGCAGGGUGAGUCGGCCCCUAAGGCGAGGCCGAAAGGCGUAGUCGAUGGGAAACAGGUUAAUAUUCCUGUACUUGGUGUUACUGCGAAGGGGGGACGGAGAAGGCUAUGUUAGCCGGGCGACGGUUGUCCCGGUUUAAGCAUGUAGGCUGGUUGUCCAGGCAAAUCCGGAUAAUCAAGGCUGAGGUGUGAUGACGAGGCACUACGGUGCUGAAGUAACAAAUGCCCUGCUUCCAGGAAAAGCCUCUAAGCAUCAGGUAACAUCAAAUCGUACCCCAAACCGACACAGGUGGUCAGGUAGAGAAUACCAAGGCGCUUGAGAGAACUCGGGUGAAGGAACUAGGCAAAAUGGUGCCGUAACUUCGGGAGAAGGCACGCUGGUGUGUAGGUGAAGCCCCUGCGGGUGGAGCUGAGACCAGUCGAAGAUACCAGCUGGCUGCAACUGUUUAUUAAAAACACAGCACUGUGCAAACACGAAAGUGGACGUAUACGGUGUGACGCCUGCCCGGUGCCGGAAGGUUAAUUGAUGGGGUUAUCCGUAAGGAGAAGCUCUUGAUCGAAGCCCCGGUAAACGGCGGCCGUAACUAUAACGGUCCUAAGGUAGCGAAAUUCCUUGUCGGGUAAGUUCCGACCUGCACGAAUGGCGUAAUGAUGGCCAGGCUGUCUCCACCCGAGACUCAGUGAAAUUGAACUCGCUGUGAAGAUGCAGUGUACCCGCGGCAAGACGGAAAGACCCCGUGAACCUUUACUAUAGCUUGACACUGAACAUUGAGCCUUGAUGUGUAGGAUAGGUGGGAGGCUUUGAAGCGUGGACGCCAGUCUGCGUGGAGCCAACCUUGAAAUACCACCCUUUAAUGUUUGAUGUUCUAACGUUGGCCCCUUACCGGGGUUGCGGACAGUGUCUGGUGGGUAGUUUGACUGGGGCGGUCUCCUCCCAAAGCGUAACGGAGGAGCACGAAGGUUAGCUAAUCCUGGUCGGACAUCAGGAGGUUAGUGCAAUGGCAUAAGCUAGCUUGACUGCGAGCGUGACGGCGCGAGCAGGUGCGAAAGCAGGUCAUAGUGAUCCGGUGGUUCUGAAUGGAAGGGCCAUCGCUCAACGGAUAAAAGGUACUCCGGGGAUAACAGGCUGAUACCGCCCAAGAGUUCAUAUCGACGGCGGUGUUUGGCACCUCGAUGUCGGCUCAUCACAUCCUGGGGCUGAAGUAGGUCCCAAGGGUAUGGCUGUUCGCCAUUUAAAGUGGUACGCGAGCUGGGUUUAGAACGUCGUGAGACAGUUCGGUCCCUAUCUGCCGUGGGCGCUGGAGAAUUGAGGGGGGCUGCUCCUAGUACGAGAGGACCGGAGUGGACGCAUCACUGGUGUUCGGGUUGUCAUGCCAAUGGCACUGCCCGGUAGCUAAAUGCGGAAGAGAUAAGUGCUGAAAGCAUCUAAGCACGAAACUUGCCCCGAGAUGAGUUCUCCCUGAGACUUUAAGUCUCCUGAAGGAACGUUGAAGACGACGACGUUGAUAGGCCGGGUGUGUAAGCGCAGCGAUGCGUUGAGCUAACCGGUACUAAUGAACCGUGAGGCUUAACCUUACAACGCCGAAG
RNAcentral lists this ribosomal RNA (2923 nucleotides) under Klebsiella pneumoniae. RNAcentral describes it as "bacterial LSU rRNA". It matches the Rfam family "Bacterial large subunit ribosomal RNA". The record is from RNAcentral. Lineage: Bacteria; Pseudomonadati; Pseudomonadota; Gammaproteobacteria; Enterobacterales; Enterobacteriaceae.